AGUGAACGCUGGCGGUGGGCCUAACACAUGCAAGUCGAACGGCAGCACAGGAGAGCUUGCUCUCUGGGUGGCGAGUGGCGGACGGGUGAGGAAUACAUCGGAAUCUACUCUGUCGUGGGGGAUAACGUAGGGAAACUUACGCUAAUACCGCAUACGACCUACGGGUGAAAGCAGGGGAUCUUCGGACCUUGCGCGAGUGAAUGAGCCGAUGUCGGAUUAGCUAGUUGGCGGGGUAAAGGCCCACCAAGGCGACGAUCCGUAGCUGGUCUGAGAGGAUGAUCAGCCACACUGGAACUGAGACACGGUCCAGACUCCUACGGGAGGCAGCAGUGGGGAAUAUUGGACAAUGGGCGCAAGCCUGAUCCAGCCAUACCGCGUGGGUGAAGAAGGCCUUCGGGUUGUAAAGCCCUUUUGUUGGGAAAGAAAUCCAGCUGGCUAAUACCCGGUUGGGAUGACGGUACCCAAAGAAUAAGCACCGGCUAACUUCGUGCCAGCAGCCGCCGCGG
Molecule: ribosomal RNA, 506 nt
Filed under: uncultured bacterium
Lineage: Bacteria
Description: partial 16S ribosomal RNA
Rfam family: Bacterial small subunit ribosomal RNA
Source: RNAcentral